GGGGAAGUGUCGGAAGUGGCAGACGAGCGUGACUUAGGAUCACGUGGAGCAAUCCGUGCGAGUUCAAAUCUCGCCUUCCCCA
This 82-nucleotide transfer RNA is filed under the name Anaerolineae bacterium. RNAcentral describes it as "tRNA-Leu". It matches the Rfam family "tRNA". Rfam says of the family: Transfer RNA (tRNA) molecules are approximately 80 nucleotides in length. Their secondary structure includes four short double-helical elements and three loops (D, anti-codon, and T loops). The record is from RNAcentral. Lineage: Bacteria; Bacillati; Chloroflexota; Anaerolineae.